UGAUAUGGUGAGAAAGGACAUAUGCCCAGUC
This 31-nucleotide non-coding RNA is filed under the name Mus musculus (house mouse). The record is from RNAcentral. Lineage: Eukaryota; Metazoa; Chordata; Mammalia; Rodentia; Muridae.